RNAcentral lists this ribosomal RNA (1495 nucleotides) under metagenome. RNAcentral's name for it is "bacterial SSU rRNA". It matches the Rfam family "Bacterial small subunit ribosomal RNA". The record is from RNAcentral.
AGAGUUUGAUCAUGGCUCAGGAUGAACGCUAGCUACAGGCUUAACACAUGCAAGUCGAGGGGAAACGAUAUUGGAAGCUUGCUUCCGAUAGGCGUCGACCGGCGCACGGGUGAGUAACGCGUAUCCAACCUGCCCACCACUUGGGGAUAACCUUGCGAAAGUAAGACUAAUACCCAAUGACGUCUCUAGAAGACAUCUGAAGGAGAUUAAAGAUUUAUCGGUGAUGGAUGGGGAUGCGUCUGAUUAGCUUGUUGGCGGGGUAACGGCCCACCAAGGCAACGAUCAGUAGGGGUUCUGAGAGGAAGGUCCCCCACAUUGGAACUGAGACACGGUCCAAACUCCUACGGGAGGCAGCAGUGAGGAAUAUUGGUCAAUGGGCGAGAGCCUGAACCAGCCAAGUAGCGUGCAGGAAGACGGCCCUAUGGGUUGUAAACUGCUUUUAUAAGGGAAUAAAGUGAGAGUCGUGACUCUUUUUGCAUGUACCUUAUGAAUAAGGACCGGCUAAUUCCGUGCCAGCAGCCGCGGUAAUACGGAAGGUCCGGGCGUUAUCCGGAUUUAUUGGGUUUAAAGGGAGCGUAGGCCGGAGAUUAAGCGUGUUGUGAAAUGUAGACGCUCAACGUCUGCACUGCAGCGCGAACUGGUUUCCUUGAGUACGCACAAAGUGGGCGGAAUUCGUGGUGUAGCGGUGAAAUGCUUAGAUAUCACGAAGAACUCCGAUUGCGAAGGCAGCUCACUGGAGCGCAACUGACGCUGAAGCUCGAAAGUGCGGGUAUCGAACAGGAUUAGAUACCCUGGUAGUCCGCACGGUAAACGAUGGAUGCCCGCUGUUGGUCUGAACAGGUCAGCGGCCAAGCGAAAGCAUUAAGCAUCCCACCUGGGGAGUACGCCGGCAACGGUGAAACUCAAAGGAAUUGACGGGGGCCCGCACAAGCGGAGGAACAUGUGGUUUAAUCCGAAGCAACGCGAAGAACCUUACCAGGUCUUGACAUCCAACUAACGAAGUAGAGAUACAUUAGGUGCCCUUCGGGGAAAGUUGAGACAGGUGGUGCAUGGUUGUCGUCAGCUCGUGUCGUGAGAUGUUGGGUUAAGUCCCGCAACGAGCGCAACCCUUGCUAUUAGUUGCUACGCAAGAGCACUCUAAUAGGACUGCCGUUGACAAAACGGAGGAAGGUGGGGACGACGUCAAAUCAUCAUGCCCCUUAUGACCUGGGCUACACACGUACUACAAUGGAUGUUAACAGAGGGAAGCAAGACAGUGAUGUGGAGCAAACCCCUAAAAACAUUCUCAGUUCAGAUUGCAGGCUGCAACCCGCCUGCAUGAAGAUGGAAUUGCUAGUAAUCGCGGAUCAGAAUGCCGCGGUGAAUACGUUCCCGGGCCUUGUACACACCGCCCGUCACACCAUGGGAGCCGGUAAUACCCGAAGUCAGUAGUCCAACCUCGUGAGGACGCUGCCGAAGGUAGGAUUGGCGACUGGGGUGAAGUCGUAACAAGGUA